RNAcentral lists this microRNA precursor (101 nucleotides) under Marmota monax (woodchuck). The record is from RNAcentral. Lineage: Eukaryota; Metazoa; Chordata; Mammalia; Rodentia; Sciuridae.
AGUGGGAUAGCUGGGUCAAAUGGUGGUUCCAUUCCAAGUUUUCUAGGAAUCUCCAUGUUGCUUUCUAUAAUGGUUGCACAAUUUGCAGUCCCACAAGCAAU